CAGGGAAUAUUGCACAAUGGGCGAAAGCCUGAUGCAGCGACGCCGCGUGCGGGAUGAAGGCCUUCGGGUUGUAAACCGCUUUCAGGAGGGACGAAAAUGACGGUACCUCCAGAAGAAGCCCCGGCCAACUACGUGCCAGCAGCCGCGGUAAUACGUAGGGGGCGAGCGUUGUCCGGAUUUAUUGGGCGUAAAGGGCUCGUAGGCGGUUCAGCAAGUCAACUGUGAAAACCCGGGGCUCAACCCCGGGACGCCAGUCGAAACUGCUGUGACUAGGGUCCGGUAGAGCUGAGUGGAAUUCUCGGUGUAGCGGUGAAAUGCGCAGAUAUCGAGAGGAACACCAGUAGCGAAGGCGGCUCACUGGGCCGGUACCGACGCUGAGGAGCGAAAGCGUGGGGAGCGA
This 400-nucleotide ribosomal RNA is filed under the name uncultured bacterium. RNAcentral's name for it is "bacterial SSU rRNA". It matches the Rfam family "Bacterial small subunit ribosomal RNA", at positions 355 to 771 of the family's 1533-position model. The record is from RNAcentral.